GGGUUUGUUAGCAUCGUCUUCAACAAUUGCAAAUCUGCCUCCGACUGAAGAUGCUUUGCUAUUUCAUUGUUUGAGGGCUUAUUAUCAGUCAAUUGUUUAUAACUCUAUCCAAAAUUGCCUUGUAUUGCCGACUGUGGAUGCAAAAAUUGAUAAAGACGGUGAUGUUAAUCCAAUUCUAACCACCUUGCCAUAUUUUCCUUUACAUUUGAACGUUCUUCAUGUGGAUGCAAAAAAGAUUGUGGAAGCAAAGUUUGCACUUGCAAGAAAAGUAAUAUGGGUUAUAUUUGGUCCUGUAAAAGCAUGGGUAAAACUUGCAAAAAGUUCGAUGAGAAACGUGACUUGGAUAAAUAGUGUUUUUAUCUGUUAAUCAAUGCCAAACCGCUACCAACGUUAACAUGGUUUCGCAAUGAUUUGAUGGUAAGCAAUGUCAGUGUAGUAUUGCCCAGUUCUGGAACAAUGACACACGUACGUAGUGAAUUCCGGAUAUCAGGCCUAGGUCGUCGCGAUUUACAUUCGGAGCUCACAUGCCAGGCCUACAAUAAUCCUCGAACACCUCCCCUCGCUGCUACCCUACAUGUUGAUAUGAAUUAUAAGUUAUAAGGUGCCUUCACAUUACGCCUCCAUUCCUAAAAUGAAAGAGUUUUCAUAAAGUGAAGCAUGUCCGGGGGCUCGCCGGAGGUGGAUUUGUCGUUGAUUCUGGUCACAAAGUUGCCCACUCCAUCCAUUUUCUUCUUUUUCAUUGGCAUGAUUGAAAUUCAUGAAUAAUUGGACUUUUGUAGUAUUUUGAAUACUUCAAUGUAAUGUGUUUCGUCGAUGUGUAACACAAUGUUUUUAAAAUUUUUGUAAAGGUGUUUGCUGAUAGCUUUCAUAAGGGAAAUGAAGUUUAAGAGGUUGGAAAAUAAAAUCACAUUUUUAUUAGAACGAUAGUAGUUGGGGUGUAAUUCAAUACAAAGCGGCGAUAUGUAUUGGUAGAUUUUUACUCUAUUAUAAAUGUACUAAGCUAAUUCAAAUAUUUCUAUUCUUAAGGUUUGAUAAAAGUUUUCAUCUAUUA
Anoplophora glabripennis (Asian longhorned beetle) is the source of this 1051-nucleotide long non-coding RNA. RefSeq lists it as uncharacterized. The transcript has 4 exons. The record is from RefSeq and is a predicted model, not a curated record. NCBI's taxonomy places the organism in Eukaryota, Metazoa, Arthropoda, Insecta, Coleoptera, Cerambycidae.